UACAGAGGGGGCAAGCGUUGUUCGGAAUUACUGGGCGUAAAGGGCGCGUAGGCGGCCUUCUAAGUCGAACGUGAAAUCCCCGGGCUCAACCCGGGAACUGCGUCCGAUACUGGAAGGCUUGAGUUCGGGAGAGGGAUGCGGAAUUCCAGGUGUAGCGGUGAAAUGCGUAGAUAUCUGGAGGAAUACCGGUGGCGAAGGCGGCAUCCUGGACCGGCAUUGACGCUGAGGAGCGAAAGCCAGGGGAGCAAACGGG
This 253-nucleotide ribosomal RNA is filed under the name uncultured bacterium. Its description in RNAcentral is "partial 16S ribosomal RNA". It matches the Rfam family "Bacterial small subunit ribosomal RNA", at positions 524 to 776 of the family's 1533-position model. The record is from RNAcentral.